This 64-nucleotide transfer RNA is filed under the name Duthiersia expansa. RNAcentral's name for it is "tRNA-Asp". Lineage: Eukaryota; Metazoa; Platyhelminthes; Cestoda; Diphyllobothriidea; Diphyllobothriidae. The record is from RNAcentral.
GCAAUCUUAGUUUAUUUGAGUAAUGUUGGUUUGUCUAACCAGAGGUAGUGUUGGCUAGGUUGCU